UAGUCCACGCCGUAAACGAUGAUCACUAGCUGUCGGCGCUAAAAAGUCGGCGGUCAAGCGAAAGUGAUAAGUGACCCACCUGGGGAGUACGUUCGCAAGAAUGAAACUCAAAGGAAUUGACGGGGGCCCGCACAAGCGGUGGAGCAUGUGGUUUAAUUCGAUGAUACGCGAGGAACCUUACCAGGGCUUAAAUGUUAGGUGACAGAUCUAGAAAUAGAUUUUUCUUCGGACACUUAACAAGGUGCUGCAUGGUUGUCGUCAGCUCGUGCCGUGAGGUGUCAGGUUAAGUCCUAUAACGAGCGCAACCCCUGUUGUUAGUUGCCAGCGAGUAAUGUCGGGAACUCUAGCAAGACUGCCAGUGCAAACUGUGAGGAAGGUGGGGAUGACGUCAAAUCAUCACGGCCCUUACGUCCUGGGCUACACACGUGUUACAAUGGUAGGUACAGAGAGCAGCCAAUGCGCGAGCAUGAGCAAAACCUNUAAAAACCUAUCUCAGUUCGGAUCGG
Molecule: ribosomal RNA, 506 nt
Filed under: uncultured bacterium
Lineage: Bacteria
Description: bacterial SSU rRNA
Rfam family: Bacterial small subunit ribosomal RNA
Source: RNAcentral